RNAcentral lists this ribosomal RNA (440 nucleotides) under uncultured ammonia-oxidizing bacterium. RNAcentral describes it as "bacterial SSU rRNA". It matches the Rfam family "Bacterial small subunit ribosomal RNA", at positions 212 to 644 of the family's 1533-position model. The record is from RNAcentral.
GGCCAGGGCUUUUGAGCGGCGAUGUCUGAUUAGCUAGUUGGUGAGGUAAAGGCUUACCAAGGCGACGAUCAGUAGCUGGUCUGAGAGGACGACCAGCCACACUGGGACUGAGACACGGCCCAGACUCCUACGGGAGGCAGCAGUGGGGAAUUUUGGACAAUGGGGGAAACCCUGAUCCAGCCAUGCCGCGUGAGUGAAGAAGGCCUUCGGGUUGUAAAGCUCUUUCAGCCGGAACGAAACGGUCACGGCUAAUACCUGUGACUACUGACGGUACCGGAAGAAGAAGCACCGGCUAACUACGUGCCAGCAGCCGCGGUAAUACGUAGGGUGCAAGCGUUAAUCGGAAUUACUGGGCGUAAAGCGUGCGCAGGCGGUUUUGUAAGUCAGAUGUGAAAUCCCCGGGCUUAACCUGGGAACUGCGUUUGAAACUACAAGGCUAG